UGGCCAUGGUCCAAAAGAAGUAAUUUGAAAGAAUUCAGAGAAGAUUAGCAUGCCCCCCUGUGCAAGGAUGACACGCAAAUUCGUGAAGCAUUCCAUAUUUUU
This is a small nuclear RNA of Sorex fumeus (smoky shrew), 102 nucleotides long. The record is from RefSeq and is a predicted model, not a curated record. Lineage: Eukaryota; Metazoa; Chordata; Mammalia; Eulipotyphla; Soricidae.